This 258-nucleotide ribosomal RNA is filed under the name uncultured bacterium. Its description in RNAcentral is "partial 16S ribosomal RNA". It matches the Rfam family "Bacterial small subunit ribosomal RNA", at positions 524 to 777 of the family's 1533-position model. The record is from RNAcentral.
UACGUAGGGUGCGAGCGUUGUCCGGAAUUAUUGGGCGUAAAGGGCUCGUAGGCGGUUUGUCGCGUCGGGAGUGAAAUCCACUGGCUUAACUGGUGGCUUGCUUUCGAUACGGGCAGACUGGAGGUAUGCAGGGGGAGAACGGAAUUCCUGGUGUAGCGGUGAAAUGCGCAGAUAUCAGGAGGAACACCGGUGGCGAAGGCGGUUCUCGUGGGGCAAUGUCCUGACGCUGAGGAGCGAAAGUGUGGGGAGCGAACAGGA